Long non-coding RNA from Mercenaria mercenaria, 683 nucleotides. RefSeq lists it as uncharacterized. The record is from RefSeq and is a predicted model, not a curated record. Lineage: Eukaryota; Metazoa; Mollusca; Bivalvia; Venerida; Veneridae. The transcript is spliced from 3 exons.
UUAAGAAAGAAUGAAAGUUUUAUUGAAGUAUAAUAAAGUAUACUGGAUCAGAAACGGACUACAUAUAUGAUUUGUUGGCUUGAAUAGACUAAAACAUGAGGCCCCAAAGGGGAUCUACCUUUUACUUACAUUUCAAAAUAAAUAUAUCUAGAACAAUUUCAAAAAUGUUAAUUCAUUACCUUAACCAAUUGUGACGGGUGCAGAUUUUAUACAUAGUUUAUAACAGUAUGGUAUUGGUUUAAAUUUAGUGGCCUGUAGCCUAAAUAGUAUAGCAAUGGUUUAUUGAUUUUAUUCGGAAUUCUUCUGAUACUUAGGGCAGUAGAAUUCAGGUGAUCGAUAGUGUAACAUCGUGAAUUUUCAUAUGCACAUUUAGAUGCAUUAAAGCUUAAUUAUUUUGGCAAAUUAAUGGUUAGGCAAUACAUAGAGAUAAAAGCAGUUCAGAGCACCACUGCACCUGGGAAAGGACAUAGAGAGUGUGUAGAGAGUGUGUUACCUGAAUUGUAUGUGGGCUGUGGAUCCCAUAGAUCCAAGCGACGUUUGAGCGUUUUGAGGUUAGAAAUCUCUAUAUCCACAUGUCGUAUAAUAGACUGGUUUUACGAGAAGAUUUAGUGUCAAUUUAUUAUAUAAAGCUGAACAGAAAUAAAUAACUAUGCUGUACCUAUGACUUCGUUUGUUACGCAUUU